GACGAACGCUGGCGGCGUGGAUUAGGCAUGCAAGUCGAGCGGUGCAGUUUGAAGCUUCGGUGGAAAGCUGCAUAGCGGCGGACGGGUGAGGAAAACGUAGGAACGUGCCCCUUGGAGUUGGAUAGCCACGGGAAACUGUGGGUAAACCGACAUAGACUCGAGAGAGUAAAGGCCGAAAGGCGCCAAGGGAGCGGCCUGCGGCCCAUCAGGUAGUUGGUAGUGUAAAGGACUACCAAGCCGACGACGGGUAGCCGGUCUGAGAGGAUGGCCGGCCACAAGGGCACUGAGAGACGGGCCCUACUCCUACGGGAGGCAGCAGUGGGGGAUUUUGGACAAUGGGCGAAAGCCUGAUCCAGCGACGCCGCGUGGAGGACGAAGCCCUUCGGGGUGUAAACUCCUUUUCUCAGGGAAAAAGGAUGAUGGUACCUGAGGAAUAAGCCCCGGCUAACUACGUG
RNAcentral lists this ribosomal RNA (455 nucleotides) under uncultured bacterium. RNAcentral's name for it is "bacterial SSU rRNA". It matches the Rfam family "Bacterial small subunit ribosomal RNA", at positions 28 to 507 of the family's 1533-position model. The record is from RNAcentral.